This 540-nucleotide ribosomal RNA is filed under the name uncultured Pseudomonadota bacterium. Its description in RNAcentral is "bacterial SSU rRNA". It matches the Rfam family "Bacterial small subunit ribosomal RNA", at positions 44 to 573 of the family's 1533-position model. The record is from RNAcentral. Lineage: Bacteria; Pseudomonadati; Pseudomonadota.
AGGCCUAACACAUGCAAGUCGAACGGCAGCACAGAGGAGCUUGCUCCUUGGGUGGCGAGUGGCGGACGGGUGAGGAAUACAUCGGAAUCUACUCUGUCGUGGGGGAUAACGUAGGGAAACUUACGCUAAUACCGCAUACGACCUACGGGUGAAAGCAGGGGAUCUUCGGACCUUGCGCGAUUGAAUGAGCCGAUGUCGGAUUAGCUAGUUGGCGGGGUAAAGGCCCACCAAGGCGACGAUCCGUAGCUGGUCUGAGAGGAUGAUCAGCCACACUGGAACUGAGACACGGUCCAGACUCCUACGGGAGGCAGCAGUGGGGAAUAUUGGACAAUGGGCGCAAGCCUGAUCCAGCCAUACCGCGUGGGUGAAGAAGGCCUUCGGGUUGUAAAGCCCUUUUGUUGGGAAAGAAAUCCAACUGGUUAAUACCCGGUUGGGAUGACGGUACCCAAAGAAUAAGCACCGGCUAACUUCGUGCCAGCAGCCGCGGUAAUACGAAGGGUGCAAGCGUUACUCGGAAUUACUGGGCGUAAAGCGUGCGUA